GGGGUCACUUUGGAGGCAUGAAUUGAGCCAGAUUAUUAGUAAAAUGCCUUCCAACUGUGAGCUUCUGUGCUGUGUAGGCGAUAGGAGGGCCUGGAUCUUGUGUGGGGAUCUCUCUACUCAUGCAGGCCUUAAGAAGGUGAGGAAACAGAGACCUGGAGAGAAUAAAUGGCUUGUUGAGCCCAGGAUGGCCCUGGGAUUGGCUUUGGGGUUCUGCCUUCCUCCUCCUGACUCCACCAUGGAUCCCACACUCUGGGCCGGUGAAUGGUGGCUAACCUACAAGAUGUUUAAAUGCGGAGUGGACUUCCUUAUUCCCUCAGCAGGAUCAAUUUCAACACAGAAGAGUGGCAAGGGCUAA
This 355-nucleotide long non-coding RNA is filed under the name Monodelphis domestica (gray short-tailed opossum). RNAcentral's name for it is "lncRNA (ENSMODG00000033451.2)". Lineage: Eukaryota; Metazoa; Chordata; Mammalia; Didelphimorphia; Didelphidae. The record is from RNAcentral.